AGAACGAACGCUGGCGGCAUGCCUAACACAUGCAAGUCGAACGCUUCCGGGGCUUCGGUCGCGGAGGAGUGGCGCACGGGUGAGUAGCGCGUGGGAACCUGCCCUGUUGUGGGGGAUAACCGAGGGAAACUUCGGCUAAUACCGCAUACGCCCCGGGACUUGGUCUUCGGAUUAGGUCUGGGGGGAAAGAUUGAUCGCAGCAGGAGGGGCCCGCGUCGGAUUAGCUGGUUGGUGGGGUAACGGCUCACCAAGGCGAUGAUCCGUAGCUGGUCUGAGAGGAUGAUCAGCCACACUGGGACUGAGACACGGCCCAGACUCCUACGGGAGGCAGCAGUGGGGAAUAUUGGACAAUGGGGGCAACCCGUGAUCCAGCAAUGCCGCGUGAGUGAUGAAGGCCUUAGGGUUGUAAAGCUCUUUCGCCCGCGACGAUGAUGACGGUAGCGGGAGAAGAGCCCGGCUAACUUCGCGCCAGCAGCCGCGGU
Molecule: ribosomal RNA, 482 nt
Filed under: uncultured bacterium
Lineage: Bacteria
Description: SSU rRNA
Rfam family: Bacterial small subunit ribosomal RNA
Source: RNAcentral